UACGUAGGGGGCAAGCGUUGUCCGGAUUUAUUGGGCGUAAAGAGCGUGUAGGCGGUUUGGUAGGUCCGCUGUGAAAACUCGAGGCUCAACCUCGAGACGCCGGUGGAAACCAUCAGGCUAGAGUCCGGAAGAGGAGAGUGGAAUUCCUGGUGUAGCGGUGAAAUGCGCAGAUAUCAGGAGGAACACCUGUGGUGUAGACAGCUUACUGGACCAUCACUGACGCUGAGACACGAAAGCGUGGGUAGCAAACAGG
RNAcentral lists this ribosomal RNA (253 nucleotides) under uncultured bacterium. RNAcentral describes it as "partial 16S ribosomal RNA". It matches the Rfam family "Bacterial small subunit ribosomal RNA", at positions 524 to 776 of the family's 1533-position model. The record is from RNAcentral.